RNAcentral lists this ribosomal RNA (484 nucleotides) under uncultured bacterium. RNAcentral describes it as "partial 16S ribosomal RNA". It matches the Rfam family "Bacterial small subunit ribosomal RNA", at positions 28 to 523 of the family's 1533-position model. The record is from RNAcentral.
GACGAACGCUGGCGGCGUGCUUAACACAUGCAAGUCGAACGAUGAAGCCGGAGCUUGCUCUGGUGAAUUAGUGGCGAACGGGUGAGUAACACGUGAGUAACCUGCCCUUGACUCUGGGAUAACUGCUAGAAAUGGUAGCUAAUACCGGAUACGACCCUCGGAGGCAUCUCCAGGGGGUGGAAAGAAUUUCGGUCAAGGAUGGACUCGCGGCCUAUCAGCUAGUUGGUGAGGUAACGGCUCACCAAGGCGACGACGGGUAGCCGGCCUGAGAGGGUGACCGGCCACACUGGGACUGAGACACGGCCCAGACUCCUACGGAAGGCAGUAGUGGGGAAUAUUGCACAAUGGGCGCAAGCCUGAUGCAGCAACGCCGCGUGAGGGAUGACGGCCUUCGGGUUGUAAACCUCUUUUAGUAGGGAAGAAGCGAAAGUGUCGGUACCUGCAGAAAAAGCACCGGCUAACUACGUGCCAGCAGCCGCGGUAA